AUGAGGUUCCCUGCUCAGCUCUUGGGGCUGUUAAUGCUCUGGGUCCCUGGAUCCAGUGGGGAUAUUGUGAUGACCCAGACUCCACUCUCCCUGUCCAUCACCCCUGGAGAGCCGGCCUCCAUCUCCUGCAGGUCUAGUCAGAGCCUCCGGUAUAGUGAUGGAAACACCUAUUUGUAUUGGUACCUGCAGAAGCCAGGGCAGUCUCCACAGCUCCUGAUCUAUAGAGUUUCCAACCGGUUCUCUGGAGUGCCAGACAGGUUUAGUGGCAGUGGAUCAGGCACAGAUUUCACACUGAAAAUCAGCAGAGUGGAGGCUGAGGAUGUUGGGGUUUAUUACUGCAUGCAAGAUCUACAAGCUCCUCCCACAGUGAUACAGCCCUUAGCAGAAACCUCCCUCUUUGGAUGGCCCACCUGCCCACAUGCACUGCUUGUCUGGGAGUCCCCAAGGUUGAAAUGGGGUCUCAUGUGUGACUUGGAGCACGUAGGAGGAGCUGUCAGUGUGCUGAGGUGUGAGGAAACCCACUCUGUUCUCUGUGCUCUGAAACUGGAAGCAGGGUUCAGGAUCCCUGACACCAAGAAGGAGCACCAAAUUUACCAGCCAUUCCAGGUGGUGAUUCAAUUUUGUAAUCAACCCAUUCAGACAUAA
Non-coding RNA from Nomascus leucogenys (northern white-cheeked gibbon), 645 nucleotides. The record is from the annotation of a RefSeq genome assembly. NCBI's taxonomy places the organism in Eukaryota, Metazoa, Chordata, Mammalia, Primates, Hylobatidae.